RNAcentral lists this ribosomal RNA (1014 nucleotides) under Amniculicola parva. RNAcentral's name for it is "SSU rRNA". It matches the Rfam family "Eukaryotic small subunit ribosomal RNA", at positions 84 to 1107 of the family's 1831-position model. The record is from RNAcentral. Lineage: Eukaryota; Fungi; Ascomycota; Dothideomycetes; Pleosporales; Amniculicolaceae.
AAACUGCGAAUGGCUCAUUAAAUCAGUUAUCGUUUAUUUGAUAGUACCUUACUACUUGGAUAACCGUGGUAAUUCUAGAGCUAAUACAUGCUAAAAACCCCGACUUCGGAAGGGGUGUAUUUAUUAGAUAAAAAGCCAAUGCCCUCCGGGGCUCUUUGGUGAUUCAUAGUAACUUAACGGAUCGCAUGGCCUUGCGCCGGCGACGGUUCAUUCAAAUUUCUGCCCUAUCAACUUUCGAUGGUAAGGUAUUGGCUUACCAUGGUUUCAACGGGUAACGGGGAAUUAGGGUUCGAUUCCGGAGAGGGAGCCUGAGAAACGGCUACCACAUCCAAGGAAGGCAGCAGGCGCGCAAAUUACCCAAUCCCGACACGGGGAGGUAGUGACAAUAAAUACUGAUACAGGGCUCUUUUGGGUCUUGUAAUCGGAAUGAGUACAAUUUAAACCCCUUAACGAGGAACAAUUGGAGGGCAAGUCUGGUGCCAGCAGCCGCGGUAAUUCCAGCUCCAAUAGCGUAUAUUAAAGUUGUUGCAGUUAAAAAGCUCGUAGUUGAACCUUGGGCCUGGCUGGCCGGUCCGCCUCACCGCGUGUACUGGUCGGCCGGGCCUUUCCUUCUGGAGAACCCCAUGCCCUUCACUGGGUGUGCGGGGGAACCAGGACUUUUACUGUGAAAAAAUUAGAGUGUUCAAAGCAGGCCUUUGCUCGAAUACGUUAGCAUGGAAUAAUAGAAUAGGACGUGCGAUCCUAUUUUGUUGGUUUCUAGGACCGCCGUAAUGAUUAAUAGGGAUAGUCGGGGGCAUCAGUAUUCAAUUGUCAGAGGUGAAAUUCUUGGAUUUAUUGAAGACUAACUACUGCGAAAGCAUUUGCCAAGGAUGUUUUCAUUAAUCAGUGAACGAAAGUUAGGGGAUCGAAGACGAUCAGAUACCGUCGUAGUCUUAACCGUAAACUAUGCCGACUGGGGAUCGGGCGAUGUUUCUAUCUUGACUCGCUCGGCACCCUAAGAGAAAUCAAAGUUUU